RNAcentral lists this ribosomal RNA (301 nucleotides) under uncultured bacterium. RNAcentral describes it as "partial 16S ribosomal RNA". It matches the Rfam family "Bacterial small subunit ribosomal RNA", at positions 509 to 807 of the family's 1533-position model. The record is from RNAcentral.
CAGCCGCCACGGGAAUACGGAGGGAGCUAGCGUUGUUCGGAAUUACUGGGCGUAAAGCGCGCGUAGGCGGUUACUCAAGUCAGAGGUGAAAGCCCGGGGCUCAACCCCGGAACUGCCUUUGAAACUAGGUGACUAGAAUCUUGGAGAGGUCAGUGGAAUUCCGAGUGUAGAGGUGAAAUUCGUAGAUAUUCGGAAGAACACCAGUGGCGAAGGCGGCUCACUGGACCGGCAUUGACGCUGAGGUGCGAAAGCGUGGGGAGCAAACAGGAUUAGAGACCCGCGUAGUCCCUGUCUCUUAUAC